RNAcentral lists this ribosomal RNA (460 nucleotides) under uncultured bacterium. Its description in RNAcentral is "partial 16S ribosomal RNA". It matches the Rfam family "Bacterial small subunit ribosomal RNA", at positions 338 to 795 of the family's 1533-position model. The record is from RNAcentral.
CCUACGGGAGGCUGCAGUGAGGAAUAUUGGUCAAUGGACGGAAGUCUGAACCAGCCAUGCCGCGUGCAGGAAGACGGCUCUAUGAGUUGUAAACUGCUUUUGUACAAGGGUAAACCUGAAUACGUGUAUUCAGCUGAAAGUACUGUACGAAUAAGGAUCGGCUAACUCCGUGCCAGCAGCCGCGGUAAUACGGAGGAUCCAAGCGUUAUCCGGAUUUAUUGGGUUUAAAGGGUGCGUAGGCGGAUUGAUAAGUUAGAGGUGAAAUGUCCGAGCUCAACUCGGGAACUGCCUCUAAUACUGUUGAUCUAGAGAGUAGAUGCGGUAGGCGGAAUGUAUGGUGUAGCGGUGAAAGGCUUAGAGAUCAUACAGAACACCGAUUGCGAAGGCAGCUUACCAAUCUAUAUCUGACGUUGAGGCACGAAAGCGUGGGGAGCAAACAGGAUUAGAUACCCCUGUAGUC